RNAcentral lists this ribosomal RNA (464 nucleotides) under uncultured bacterium. Its description in RNAcentral is "SSU rRNA". It matches the Rfam family "Bacterial small subunit ribosomal RNA", at positions 26 to 518 of the family's 1533-position model. The record is from RNAcentral.
AGGACUAACGCUGGCGGCGUGCCUAACACAUGCAAGUCGAACGGGGUAGCAAUACCCAGUGGCAGACGGGUGAGUAACACGUGGUCAACCUACCUCUGUGUGGGGGAUAACUAGCCGAAAGGUUAGCUAAUACCGCAUACGAUCGUUUUGAGGCAUCUCGAGACGAUGAAAGGAGCAAUCCGCACGGAGAGGGGACUGCGUCCCAUUAGUUAGUGGUGGGGUAACGGCCUACCAAGACUCCGAUGGGUAGCUGGCUUGAGAGAGCGACCAGCCACACUGGAACUGAGAAACGGUCCAGACUCCUACGGGAGGCAGCAGUGAGGAAUUUUCCGCAAUGGGCGAAAGCCUGACGGAGCGACGCCGCGUGUGGGAUGAAGGCCUUCGGGUCGUAAACCACUGUCGAAGGGGACGAUAAUGACGGUACCCUUGGAGGAAGCCCCGGCUAACUACGUGCCAGCAGCCGC